RNAcentral lists this ribosomal RNA (508 nucleotides) under uncultured bacterium. RNAcentral's name for it is "partial 16S ribosomal RNA". It matches the Rfam family "Bacterial small subunit ribosomal RNA", at positions 28 to 507 of the family's 1533-position model. The record is from RNAcentral.
GACGAACGCUGGCGGCGUGCCUAAUACAUGCAAGUCGAACGCUUCUUUCCUCCCGAGUUCUUGCUCUCGAUUGGAAAGAGGAGUCGCGUACGGGUUAGUAACACGUCUGUAACCUACCCAUCAGAGGGGGAUAACACUUGAAAACAGUUGCUAAUACCGCAUACCAGUUUAUGCCGCAUGUCAUAAGAGUUAAAGCCGCUUUCUGGUGUCGUUUCUGGAUGGACCCUUGGUGCAUUAGCUAGUUGGUGGGGUAACGGCCCACCAAGGCGACGAUGCAUAGCUGGUCUGAGAGGAUGAUCGGCCACACUGGAACUGAGACACGGCCCAGACUCCUACGGGAGGCAGCAGUGGGGAAUAUUGGACAAUGGGCGAAAGCCUGAUCCAGCCAUGCCGCGUGAGUGAAGAAGGCCUUCGGGUCGUAAAGCCCUGUUGUUAGGGAAGAAAAGCAACGGGAGAAAACGAAGGUGUUCUGACGGUACCUAAAGAGAAAGCACCGGCUAACUACGUG